This 133-nucleotide ribosomal RNA is filed under the name uncultured bacterium. RNAcentral's name for it is "partial 16S ribosomal RNA". It matches the Rfam family "Bacterial small subunit ribosomal RNA", at positions 355 to 485 of the family's 1533-position model. The record is from RNAcentral.
UGAGGAAUAUUGGACAAUGGAGGCAACUCUGAUCCAGCCAUGCCGCGUGCAGGAAGACUGCCCUAUGGGUUGCAAACUGCUUUUAUAUAGGAAGAAACGUCCCGACGUGUCGGGAUUUGACGGUACUAUAAGA